This is an RNA transcript of Physeter macrocephalus (sperm whale), 365 nucleotides long. It is a transcript of the gene named sterile alpha motif domain containing 13, with no coding region annotated. The transcript is spliced from 3 exons. The record is from RefSeq and is a predicted model, not a curated record. NCBI's taxonomy places the organism in Eukaryota, Metazoa, Chordata, Mammalia, Artiodactyla, Physeteridae.
CUUUGUGAAAGAAAACAUUGGGGUUUCUUUGGCUGUUCUUGAUAAGCCUAUAAAAAAUGACAUGUUUUAGUUGCUUCUAGUUGCUGAAGUCAAGGAACCCUGCAGCCUCCCCAUGCUAUCUGUUGACAUGGAACACAAGGAAAAUGGCUCUGUCGGUGUAAAAAAGAUGGAGGAGGAACUAAUGUUCCCACACAAUAGAUGCUAAUAGUAAGUUAGCAACUUCUCAACAACAAGUGGUUUAUCUCCCCACCACCACCAUGCCCCUCACCCCUCAGUGGAGAAGCUCUACUACAAGAGAAAGUUCACAGCAACAAAGUUUAGCAACUUUCAAAAGAAGCUCUUUCUUAUUAGAACCACGCCUUUUC